AUCAUGGAUUAAUUGUAAACAUAAAGAAAGACACUGAAAAAAAAAACAUAUCAAAGCUAUGGCUUUGGGGCAAACUCCAGUGCCACGGAAGCUAGAAUGUUUUCUUUUAUCAGAGCUCCCUUUCUGGCCUCUGAAAUUACUUCUUUCAUGUCUGAUAGUGAAGAACGAAGCCGCCUGCUCCCCGGAGAUGCGCGAUUGUUACCAUGGUCUCAUAACAUAUUGGCAGCCGAUGUGGCGUCCGCGUACACCUGUCACUCAGGUCUCCCGCGCAGAUGCGGCAGGCAGGCUCCGUUCGACGCGGGCCCCCUGCCCCCACCCCCACCUGGCGCCUGCACACUCAGGGCCCACGGCCGCGGGGCGGCGCAUCCGGGCUCGCGUGGCCGCGCGGGGGGCGGGCGCUGGCUGGUGGCUCUGCAGGGCGGCGGGGACCCCAGCGCUCGCCCCGCUGACCUCCCUCCAGCCAAGCGACCGGCCUCGGUCAGGCGGAAGAGUGGAGAUCCCAAAGAAGAGGUCCUAUUUUGCAAAUGUGUGAAUCACAUAGUGUCAACUUGGAAGUGUAUCUUGUCACUUUGAAUCUUUCAGCCUGGUUAGGUUGGAGGUUCCUCCUCCCUCACCCCAGUCCAUUCCUGAAAAAUUGAGAUUCAGAAACCACGGGAUUUGGUAAAGUGACACAGCUAUCUACACCCAUGACCCCUGCCUGGCCUCAUCCCAUCACAGCCGUGCUGGGACAGAGCAGGAGGCGACAUCCCCAGCCCCAGCCCUCAACUCCACACUGUUCUUUCUCUACAUCAGAGACUCUGCUUCUUCCCUGGGGAAGCUCAUGGUGAAUACAUAUCUGAAUUCAUUCUGGGCAGAUGAGGGCAUUGGCCCUGUGCUCCCAGGGGUUACUCAUAGUUUCCCACCCAGCAGAUUAAAAAAAAAAAAAGGGGGCUGAACAAGAAGAGCCAAUGCCCCUGGCAAUCCUGUCCAGUUGUCAGACACCGUGGUGAUUUUCCCUGCGCCUGGGGGAGCCGCCAAGCCUGAGGGCUGGGUUAGCAGAUGCCAAUGUUGAGAAGGUUGAAGGCAAGGAGGUUCCCAGUCACUGCACGAUGCAAAUUGAGGCCAAGACAGGACACAGAGCCUCCGUGAUUGAAGAACAGAAAAGAUUUUUCAGAAUCAAAUCAUCAAGUUUAAUUCCUGGGCUGAUCUGAAAGCGACUUUUUUUUUUUUUAAUGUGGAAAAUAUCAAAAUGGGUUCAAAUCUCCUCAUUUCAAAUUUGUAAAUGCAUCACUUUAUUGAACGAUUUGUCCAUUUUUAUAAGCUGAUUUAUGGUAGCUGUAAUGUGAUUCAUCAUGUCAUCUUGUAAAUAAAUGCGACACUUCAU
Molecule: long non-coding RNA, 1363 nt
Filed under: Vulpes vulpes (red fox)
Lineage: Eukaryota; Metazoa; Chordata; Mammalia; Carnivora; Canidae
Description: lncRNA (ENSVVUG00000018677.1)
Source: RNAcentral